UACGGAGGGUGCAAGCGUUAUCCGGAUUCACUGGGUUUAAAGGGUGCGUAGGUGGGUUUGUAAGUCAGUGGUGAAGUCUCCGUGCUUAACAUGGAAACUGCCAUUGAUACUAUAGAUCUUGAAUUUUCUGGAGGAUAGCGGAAUAUGUCAUGUAGCGGUGAAAUGCUUAGAUAUGACAUAGAACACCAAAUUGCGAAGGCAGCUAUCUACAGGGAUAUUUGACACUGAGGCACGAAAAGCGUGGGGGAUCAAAACAGG
RNAcentral lists this ribosomal RNA (258 nucleotides) under uncultured bacterium. RNAcentral's name for it is "partial 16S ribosomal RNA". It matches the Rfam family "Bacterial small subunit ribosomal RNA", at positions 524 to 776 of the family's 1533-position model. The record is from RNAcentral.